AUUGAACGCUGGCGGCAGGCCUAACACAUGCAAGUCGAGCGGAUGAAGGGAGCUUGCUCCUGGAUUCAGCGGCGGACGGGUGAGUAAUGCCUAGGAAUCUGCCUGGUAGUGGGGGAUAACGUCCGGAAACGGGCGCUAAUACCGCAUACGUCCUGAGGGAGAAAGUGGGGGAUCUUCGGACCUCACGCUAUCAGAUGAGCCUAGGUCGGAGUAGCUAGUUGGUGGGGUAAAGGCCUACCAAGGCGACGAUCCGUAACUGGUCUGAGAGGAUGAGCAGUCACACUGGAGCUGAGACACGGUCCAGACUCCUACGGGAGGCAGCAGUGGGGACUAUUGGACAGUGGGCGAAAGCCUGCUCCAGCCAUGCCGCGUGUGUGAAGAAGGUCUUCGGAUUGUAAAGCACUUUAAGUUGGGAGGAAGGGCAGUAAGUUAAUACCUUGCUGUUUUGACGUUACCAACAGAAUAAGCACCGGCUAACUUCGU
This 483-nucleotide ribosomal RNA is filed under the name uncultured bacterium. RNAcentral's name for it is "partial 16S ribosomal RNA". It matches the Rfam family "Bacterial small subunit ribosomal RNA", at positions 30 to 506 of the family's 1533-position model. The record is from RNAcentral.